GAAAUUCGCCUUCAUGAAGCUGGAAUUGCUAGUAAUGGCAGGUCAGCAUACUGCCGUGAAUACGUUCCCGGGCCUUGUACACACCGCCCGUCACACCAUGAGAGUUGGAAAUACCCGAAGCCUGUGAGCUAACUUAAAGAGGCAGCAGUCGAAGGUAGAGCCAAUGAUUGGGGUGAAGUCGUAACAAGGUAUC
RNAcentral lists this ribosomal RNA (193 nucleotides) under uncultured bacterium. Its description in RNAcentral is "partial 16S ribosomal RNA". It matches the Rfam family "Bacterial small subunit ribosomal RNA", at positions 1307 to 1500 of the family's 1533-position model. The record is from RNAcentral.